GUGUUGGCUUCGGCAGCACAUAUACCAAAAUUGGAACGAUACAGAGAUUAGCAUGAACCCUGCACCAGGAUGACGCGCAUGUUCGUGAAGCAUUCCAUAUUUUU
This is a small nuclear RNA of Talpa occidentalis (Iberian mole), 104 nucleotides long. The record is from RefSeq and is a predicted model, not a curated record. NCBI's taxonomy places the organism in Eukaryota, Metazoa, Chordata, Mammalia, Eulipotyphla, Talpidae.